AAAAAAAAUAUAUAUAAAAUAAAAAUCUAAGUAAAUUUGGAGCAGUUAGGAGGUUAGACUUCACUAUUAGUAUGAGAAAAAGGCGGUACAACACAGGCAAGUAGCGUCUAUCAUUCAUUGUAGGAUCAUAAAGAUCUCCUUCCCCACCAAGACGGCGACAUUGUCUUUCCACUUUAGCCAUCAAAAAACAAACAAGGUUUUGGAUGUUUUCAGAACUUCUCCCUUUUGCUUGAGGGAAUUUUCAUUUCAAUGGGAAAAAGGAAAAAUAUUCACAGUGGUAAAGCAGUAUAGCUUAGUAAAAACAAU
This 306-nucleotide unclassified non-coding RNA is filed under the name Hevea brasiliensis (rubber tree). Lineage: Eukaryota; Viridiplantae; Streptophyta; Magnoliopsida; Malpighiales; Euphorbiaceae. The record is from RNAcentral.